AAACAGGUCACCAGGGGGUACAAGGCCUGAGGAGAAAGGAGAGGAGGUCACAGGAUCAUUUAUAUUUCAACAAACCAGGAAGAUUCCUAAAAGAAGUGUUAUUGCAUUGGUAAACUCUACCAAGACAAAUUUAACCACAGGAGGAAUUUGCUUAUGACCAAAUAAACAGAGGUGCUACUGUGCUUUUCCUGCCUAACUGGGCCAGCUUCCCGCAGCAACUUGAGAAGACAGCAAAGGUUCAUCAUUUUGAGGAAGGGAAGUGCUCAAGUUGAGAGCACCUUAGCUCUCCUGCCUAAGACAUUACCUGCAUAAACUGAAGAG
This 321-nucleotide long non-coding RNA is filed under the name Homo sapiens (human). RNAcentral's name for it is "HSALNT0372562". The record is from RNAcentral. Lineage: Eukaryota; Metazoa; Chordata; Mammalia; Primates; Hominidae.